Molecule: unclassified non-coding RNA, 264 nt
Filed under: Hevea brasiliensis (rubber tree)
Lineage: Eukaryota; Viridiplantae; Streptophyta; Magnoliopsida; Malpighiales; Euphorbiaceae
Source: RNAcentral
AAGAGCUAUGGGGAGAUGCUCCGAUUGAGAUGACGAAACCCGGUUGGGACCCGAAUUGGGUUGAUGAAGAGGAAGAUGAUAUCAUUGCAGAAGAGACUAAAGCGGGUCGAGACCCACCAAUUGCCCCGUUUUAUGUACCGUAUAGGAAGCCGUAUCCUGUGAUACCGGAUAAUAAUUAUGAUAUUUCCAAUCCCAAAUCUGUGAUUGAAGAGCUUGAUAGGAUUGAGGAGUUCUUGAAAUGGGUUAGCUACAUUUUUGUUGAUG